GAUGAACGCUGGCGGCGUGCUUAACACAUGCAAGUCGAACGGUGAAGGCGGAGCUUGCUCUGCUGGAUCAGUGGCGAACGGGUGAGUAACACGUGAGCAAUCUGCCCCUGACUCUGGAUAAGCGCUGGAAACGGCGUCUAAUACUGGAUACGAGCUGCGAAGGCAUCUUCAGCAGCUGGAAAGAACUUCGGUCAGGGAUGAGCUCGCGGCCUAUCAGCUUGUUGGUGAGGUAACGGCUCACCAAGGCGUCGACGGGUAGCCGGCCUGAGAGGGUGACCGGCCACACUGGGACUGAGACACGGCCCAGACUCCUACGGGAGGCAGCAGUGGGGAAUAUUGCACAAUGGGCGAAAGCCUGAUGCAGCAACGCCGCGUGAGGGACGACGGCCUUCGGGUUGUAAACCUCUUUUAGCAGGGAAGAAGCGAAAGUGACGGUACCUGCAGAAAAAGCGCCGGCUAACUACGUG
Molecule: ribosomal RNA, 467 nt
Filed under: uncultured bacterium
Lineage: Bacteria
Description: partial 16S ribosomal RNA
Rfam family: Bacterial small subunit ribosomal RNA
Source: RNAcentral